This 75-nucleotide transfer RNA is filed under the name Marmota monax (woodchuck). RNAcentral's name for it is "tRNA.Ala". It matches the Rfam family "tRNA". Rfam says of the family: Transfer RNA (tRNA) molecules are approximately 80 nucleotides in length. The record is from RNAcentral. Lineage: Eukaryota; Metazoa; Chordata; Mammalia; Rodentia; Sciuridae.
GCUGGGAUUGUGGUUUAGAGGUAGAGCGCUCGCCUAGCAUGCGUGAGGCACUGGGUUUGAUCCUCAGCACCAGCA